AGUGAACGCUGGCGGUAGGCCUAACACAUGCAAGUCGAACGGCAGCACAGUAAGAGCUUGCUCUUACGGGUGGCGAGUGGCGGACGGGUGAGGAAUACAUCGGAAUCUACUUUUUCGUGGGGGAUAACGUAGGGAAACUUACGCUAAUACCGCAUACGACCUACGGGUGAAAGCAGGGGAUCUUCGGACCUUGCGCGAUUGAAUGAGCCGAUGUCGGAUUAGCUAGUUGGCGGGGUAAAGGCCCACCAAGGCGACGAUCCGUAGCUGGUCUGAGAGGAUGAUCAGCCACACUGGAACUGAGACACGGUCCAGACUCCUACGGGAGGCAGCAGUGGGGAAUAUUGGACAAUGGGCGCAAGCCUGAUCCAGCCAUACCGCGUGGGUGAAGAAGGCCUUCGGGUUGUAAAGCCAUUUUGUUGGGAAAGAAAAGCAGCAGGUUAAUACCCCGCUGUUCUGACGGUACCCAAAGAAUAAGCACCGGCGAACUUCGU
This 491-nucleotide ribosomal RNA is filed under the name uncultured bacterium. Its description in RNAcentral is "partial 16S ribosomal RNA". It matches the Rfam family "Bacterial small subunit ribosomal RNA", at positions 29 to 506 of the family's 1533-position model. The record is from RNAcentral.